RNAcentral lists this transfer RNA (63 nucleotides) under Chlamisus sp. N29. Its description in RNAcentral is "tRNA-Arg". The record is from RNAcentral. Lineage: Eukaryota; Metazoa; Arthropoda; Insecta; Coleoptera; Chrysomelidae.
AAAUAAGAAGUAAAUACUUACGUUUAGUUUCGACCUAAAAAUUUGAUACAAUAUCCUUAUUUU